CUGUCUCUAAGUAAAAUAUAAAAUAGGGCUGGGGACGGGGCUCAGGGAUCAAGAGUCCCUGAGUUCAAACCCCAGUACCAAAAAAGAAUGGUGGCUUCCUGGAGGGGGACCUGGGGGAAGGAGGAGCAGGACCCCAAAUGACCUUUUUUUCUUUUAAGUUGAUCAUGUCAAGUAUUUUGUCACAGUGACCAAAAGGGAGGCUGAGGCAGGAGGAUUGAAAGGUGGAGGCCAGCCUCAGCAAGAGACCCUGUCUCUAAAUAAAAUAUAAAAAAGGGCUGGGGUCUUUGCCACCAUUCUUUAAAAAUGCAAUUCGUGCACCAGAGCCUAUAGUUUGAUAAGCCUUAGUUUAUAGCAGUCACCUGAGAACAGAUUCCUAGCCCCUCCCCUGGCCAAAACCUCUGGGCCACAACUGCACAACUGAGGGGUGGGGACAGUGAGCCACUUCUCUAACUGCGACACCCUGACUUAUGGCCGAGUGUGGGCUGGGGUCCUGGCUCUCAUCCUCCUGGCUCACCUUUCCUAGAGUGGAAUCUGCCCUGGGCACAAGAGAGGACCUUGGGUAUAGAAGCC
Molecule: long non-coding RNA, 570 nt
Filed under: Marmota monax (woodchuck)
Lineage: Eukaryota; Metazoa; Chordata; Mammalia; Rodentia; Sciuridae
Source: RNAcentral